CUGAAACAUAAAUUAAGCAGUCUAACCAUCCAUAGUAGCCAUGUCAUACUAGUCUCACUGAGAAAUGGAUAUUUAUUGCCCCCCCUGUGUCACAUUGUCAAAAUGAAUGAUAUAAUUAUACCAUAUCUGAGAUGAAGGAUUUGCAGGGGUUUGUAUUGGAUGCCCUUUUCCAGUCUUAAAAGUUAGUGGGGGCUGUAGUAGGCUGUACUCAGAUGCAGACAUUUCAUUUGCUAUUAGAGACUGUGACUACUGAAAUCUGGGGCUGCUGGCAGUGUUGUGUAGCCCAGGGUCAUGACAGCCAGGCUUCCUGCUUUCUCCUCUUGUAGAAAAAGCUGAGUUGAGACACGGCCAUUUUCACUAAGAGGACAGAGGCAGAUGGUACCAGAGCUGGGGUCAUUUCCUACACCCUCUCUUUCUUCCAACAUCCAGAGUAACAAGCUUAACUCUUUAGGGCUUUCCACCCUCUUUUUAAUUAGGUCUUUAUUUUUCCCUUCCCUCUUCACAGCAGCAGUAGUCAGUAGACAGCACCUUGGACUUGGGAGAUAAAGUGCAGUUCUUUCUACGCUGCUGAGCUUGACAGAUUUAUUCUGACCACGUACUUAUUGCCCUGCGUAUGCAGUAUCAGCUUGGUCUCACUGUUGCCCGGUCAGAAUGCUUAAACUUCUUGGUCAGCUAUACCACCCUAGCCCAACCUCCUCAUGCCCCGAAAAUGUUGCUAUGAGAUGCAGAGCCAAACCUACAUCUGGGAACACCAUUUCCUUACCUGACUGCAAACGUCAUUGGGUUAGGCAUGGAAACAUAAAGCAAGCUGACACGUCUUACCUUGCUCAAGUUGGACUAUACAUUUUGGAAAAAAAAAGGCAUGCCCGAAAUUUCAGUGAUGUCAGUGAACUUUGGUUCUAACACCUAGCAAACAAGCUGAAACAGUCUUUUAGAAUUUAGAUUUAGUUGGCCAUAUAUUAGAAAUCAAACUUCAGAUCAGUUAAAUUGUCGUCAUCAACAGUAAAUGAGACCACUGUAUUCUAAAGAGUAUUUAACAUGUAGUUGAAGAGAAGUAAGAUAUCCUAGGAAUAUUUUAGACUCCAAGAUGAAUGUUUUCCCUACUGUUACUACAUUUUAAGUGCAAGAGCUUCUAUUUUUAAUGUUAUACUGAGGUAUGGAAUCAUCUGUAAAGAUGGUAACUGUCAGUACUUAAUAUUUGCAUCGUAUUUCAUUCCGCUUCUCUCAUCAUUGUUGACAAAUAAUCCUAGGUGUUAUACAGAUGCCUUUAUUGCAGCUUCCUGUGUGAAUCUAGAGCCGUGUUCUUGACCUGCUUUCACAUGGUGUGAACCUUUCAGAGAUCUUGAUUGGAUCGUGAACAAUCCAGUUGUGAAAGGAGAUGACAAGGAGUAGAGAAGAAACUCUGAGAAGAAUCUGGAGAAUAGGUAAAUAUUUUAUGUUCUCCCGACCACCACCAUCUACUUUGGACACCUUUCUAGGAAGUGCUUUUGUGAAUGGCUCGGCUGGCAGAAUUUUUCAUGGAAAGAGCUAAUGUUCAAUACAUUUGUAUGUUGAUGGUGCUUCUCAUCAAAAACCUGUAUCCAUAACAGAGAUCUGAGAAUGGAUAAAGUACAAGACAAGAAAACGAAGUGGAAUAGAUAAAUGAUGGAAGAGUAUUUUGGAAAGAAACUACUGAGAAAGCCAUGCAGGUGCUGCUGGGUUUUAUUUGUUUAUUUAUUAUAAGUUAAAGAUUUAUUUUAAAUUUUGUAAUCAGAGUUGCUUCAUUUAGAUGCACAGCUAUGAAAAUUAAAAAAAAAAAAAAGAAAAAGAAAAGAAAAAGAAAAAAAAAGAAAGAAAACCAAUGUCCUAAAUAAGUUCUUAUGUUUCUUUUUUCUUCUGAGGUCAAGUUCAUUAUUGUAACUUUGUGAGUGUUUUUCAUAGUGCCAUUGCCAAAUGACAUUAAAAUUACUAAUACAGAAGUAGAUUAAGAGAACAUGAUUAAGAUUGCAAAGUCAGGAAAAAUCAUAAUUAAGGUUGCCUGUGCAAUUUUAACUCAGUUCCUGUGUGGAUAUCCAUCCUGAUAAGAGGGUUUAAUUACGUAGCCAUGGUCUUUUUCUUUUCUUUUUUUCCUCAGGACACUUCCCAAUCACUGAGCACCAUUUUACUGACUCUUCUCAAAGUGGUUAUAUUUUCAUGGGUAUUUAUUUUUUUAUUAUUAUUUUUUAUUUUUAUUUUUUUAUUCAGAGGGCAGAGGAGAAAUAAUAAGAUUCUUACACUUAAGAAUCGGGAUGUUAAAGUGCUGACAUUACGAUUUCACCAUAUUGUAACUUCUGUAGAACAUAAGUUUCUUAACUGUAACAAAAUGCCCAACUAGUGCUUUUGGGAGGGAGCCAACACUGUUCCCUGUCUUCCUCAGUCCCACAGAAAUCAAAUUCAAGUCCCACUAUCUGUGUGUGUGUGUAUAUAUAAUUUAUAUGUAUAAAUAAAAGCAUCGUGAAGCAGAAGUGUGAAUGAAACUGUAAAUAUGACUUUAUGGUGGAAACUUUGGGCAGUGGUUUCAUUGUUUCUCAUUUCAACCUUUUUGAAAAUGCUGCAAAGGAAUCGAGAAGUAAAUGGAAAGUUUCUGAAUUUAUUUUCCUUACUGGAACUCCUUAGAUUAUGUCAUUUUAAAAACUGUGACACCGAGCUACAAACGUGGUGAACGGUCUGGAGGGAAAAACAUAUGAGGAGUAGCUGAGGUCCACUGGUCAGUUUGUUCAGCUAAGAGGAGGCUGAGGGAAGGCCUCAUUGUGGCUUACAGUUGGACUCAGUGAUCCUUAUGGGUCCCUUCCAAUUCAGGAUGUUCCAAUUCAGAUGACUCUGUGAUUCUGUUAUUUUUAGUGUUGCUUUUCUUUGUGUACUGUGGGUUGGACCCCAUUCAUUUUUUUUUUCCUCAUUAUACAAGAACUCCAGCAUAAUUCUAAAAAGGCUGGUAAGAAGUUCACAAAUAAGGAAUUGAUUUUAAAUACAAUUUUUUUAAAACAUCUGCUUGAUUCUCAGUGUAGUUUUGUAUUUUGCAAAAUUAAGAUAUUAUCACUUAAGUUGAUUAUGAAAACUCUAAAAGCAGAUAAAAUUAGGAAGAACUUAACCAGAAAGAAUGGAAAUCUACCCUACUGGUACCAGUUUGGCAUUCACAAGUUGAUUUUUAUAAAUCUUCAGUUGACCUUUUUGACAGGAGCCUUUUGAAGUUCAGUGACAAUGAAUAUGAAGCUCUGUACCUGGAACUGAGGAACUGCUGUUAAAGCAUGGGCUGUGGCUUGCCAGGCUGGGGAGCAGCUCUGAUCAAAGCAGCCUAGUGGUCUUGCUGGACCAGUGUGUCUGAUCAUGUUUCUUCUUGUACCACAUCUGCCUUUUGAAGAAGGGAGGGGGGGAAGCCACAUGUUUUCAGGCUGUGGAACUACUAAAGUGUCUGAAUAAAGGAAUUAUUGGUAAAAAAUCUUUCAGAAAUAAUAUUGUGGAAGAAACUACUACUGAAAAACAAUGAGGUUUCUGCUCAAGGUUUUCUAGUCCUGACAUAACAUGGUACUGUUCAUUAGCCUGACGGUUUCUGUAUCAUGCUGGUUUGUGUCUGGCCAAGAAGGUGCAUGUAUAAAGAUUGCUUCUACAAGUCUGUAUCUGUCUGCAGAGCUGAACCUCAAUUAUCAUAUCUGACAAAGAAUAAGCUGUUAUUAUAGUAAAAAUUACAUGGGAGGUCUUUAAAAUAAGCCUUCUCCUUGCUGACUGACAGGAGAGGCUGAGUGGCUUUAACAUAGUGCACCAAAGUGUAUUCCUGAAUUGGUUUCACCUUUAUUUCAGAGACACGAAAAGGAUGAUCAUUUAAUAAUUCAUAUAAGCGUUGUCACGAUCAAGGGAAGAAUGCGAUUCAUUUAAAUUUGGAAGAGAAUCUGAGUGACUGCUUUGCAUCAGUAAACUUCAGAGUGCUCUGUAAUUCAUCGUGCUCAACAGGAAGAAAAACAAGUUGAAGAAAGUGAAUAUAUAAUGCUGUUAGAACAGUUUUGAAUUUAGCUGAACUUUACUCUUCAGUUCACUGACUGGUGUGACAUUAAGAACACAAGAAAGGUCAGUUAAAUGGCAAUAUCAAAAAGUUUCUUAAAUUACAAGAUGGCUCUUGCCUGUGUCCAGGCUACUGGUGAAUCCUUAGCUAAUUAUCAUGGUAUGCCAAUAGACAAACACUCUACUCUAGAUGUACAAAUAUGUUCUUUCAAUGUUAAAAUUAUUUGCAGUGGUAGAGCAACAUUUCCCAAACUUCCACCAUGAUCAAACAGAAAGCAGAUUUUGAAAAGGUAUUAUUUAACGAUUUCUUUUUUUAAGUUUUGAAAGAUGGAGGCUUUGAUUUCUGUAAAGCUGUUUAUGGUACUCCUUAAGAUUUGACCUCUACCUUAAUGCUAUUAUAAGCGGGAAUAUAAUUAAUAUUUCUUUCCAGCAUAGGGCCAACGAGUCAGUAGUUCCUCAGGAGAGGAGAGCAUUAUACGUAUGCCAAGUAGGAGCACCACAUUUUGGGGUCCUGUUUGUACCAACCUGGGUUAAAGUUUGUUAUACAAGGGGGCUGUAAGCAAAAUCUUGAAAGUGCAGAAAUAAAAGACUGUUUGAUUUACUUAUGUAUGACCUACAAGAUUUUAAUCUUAAUGGAUCUCCUUCACAAACCGUAGCCAGUGUGGCAUAUAUUCAUUCACUAACCCAACUCUUCUUCAUGUAAAUGGUGUUGCAAACUCUUGUGAGUCUGGCAAAAUUCCAGCAUUAGCAAAAUGGUAUAGAAGCACUUUCACUCUUUGAAGAUCAAACAGUAAAGAAUAAAUGAGUCUUUCUCAAAUGCCC
Molecule: long non-coding RNA, 4833 nt
Organism: Gallus gallus (chicken)
Lineage: Eukaryota; Metazoa; Chordata; Aves; Galliformes; Phasianidae
Source: Ensembl